UCAACUUGAGAGUUUGAUCCUGGCUCAGAACGAACGCUGGCGGCAGGCCUAACACAUGCAAGUCGAGCGAGACCUUCGGGUCUAGCGGCGGACGGGUUAGUAACGCGUGGGAACGUGCCCUUCUCUGCGGAAUAGCCACUGGAAACGGUGAGUAAUACCGCAUACGCCCUUCGGGGGAAAGAUUUAUCGGAGAAGGAUCGGCCCGCGUUAGAUUAGAUAGUUGGUGGGGUAACGGCCUACCAAGUCUACGAUCUAUAGCUGGU
This 263-nucleotide ribosomal RNA is filed under the name Sulfitobacter sp. HI0082. Its description in RNAcentral is "partial 16S ribosomal RNA". It matches the Rfam family "Bacterial small subunit ribosomal RNA", at positions 1 to 291 of the family's 1533-position model. Lineage: Bacteria; Pseudomonadati; Pseudomonadota; Alphaproteobacteria; Rhodobacterales; Roseobacteraceae. The record is from RNAcentral.